GUGCUUAUUUCGGCAGCACAUGUACUAAAAUUGGAACAAUACAGAGAAGAUUAGCAUGACUCCUGCACAAAGAUGACACGCAAAUUUGUGAAUCAUUCCAUAUUUUU
Small nuclear RNA from Otolemur garnettii (small-eared galago), 107 nucleotides. NCBI's taxonomy places the organism in Eukaryota, Metazoa, Chordata, Mammalia, Primates, Galagidae. The record is from Ensembl.